AUCUUCGGCCAUAGGACAGUGAAAAUACCGCAUCUCGUCCGAUCUGCGCUGUCGAGCACUGUUAGAGCACUGUUAGUACUACAUGUGGUGGGUGACCACAUGGGAAUCCCGGGCGGUGAGAAGU
RNAcentral lists this ribosomal RNA (124 nucleotides) under Tulasnella calospora MUT 4182. Lineage: Eukaryota; Fungi; Basidiomycota; Agaricomycetes; Cantharellales; Tulasnellaceae. The record is from RNAcentral.